This 580-nucleotide ribosomal RNA is filed under the name uncultured bacterium. RNAcentral describes it as "bacterial SSU rRNA". It matches the Rfam family "Bacterial small subunit ribosomal RNA", at positions 337 to 916 of the family's 1533-position model. The record is from RNAcentral.
UCCUACGGAGGCAGCAGUGGGGAAUAUUGGACAAUGGGCGCAAGCCUGAUCCAGCAAUGCCGCGUGGGUGAAGAAGGCCUCGGGUUGUAAAGCCCUUUUGUACGGGAAGAAAUCAUCCGGGUUAAUACCCUGGGUGGAUGACGGUACCGUAGAAUAAGCACCGGCUAACUUCGUGCCAGCAGCCGCGGUAAUACGAAGGGUGCAAGCGUUAAUCGGAAUUACUGGCGUAAAGCGUGCGUAGGUGGUUGUUUAAGUCUGUCGUGAAAGCCCUGGGCUCAACCUGGGAAUGGCGAUGAUACUGGGCGACUGGAGUGCGGUAGAGGAUGGCGGAAUUCCCGGUGUAGCGGUGAAAUGCGUAGAGAUCGGGGGAACAUCCGUGGCGAAGGCGGCCAUCUGGACCAGCACUGACACUGAGGCACGAAAGCGUGGGGAGCAAACAGAUUAGAUACCCUGGUAGUCCACGCCCUAAACGAUGCGAACUGGAUGUUGGUCUCAACUUGGAGAUCAGUGUGAAGCUAACGCGUUAAGUUCGCCGCCUGGGGAGUACGGUCGCAAGACUGAAACUCAAAGGAAUUGACGG